UGUGUGUCCACCUCUUGUGUGGAGAGGUGGGGUUAAUUCCCCCACCAAGCGCACCCCUUUUCUUUUUUUGUCACCACUUAUGGGGGGGACUUUUAGGAGGCCGCCGGUGAUAAACCGGAGGAAGGGGGGGAUGACGACAAGUCAUCAUGGCCCUUACUAGGAGGGCUACCCCCCUGCUACAAUGGUCGGUACAAAAGGCAGCAACCUCCCGAGAAGGAGCAAAUCCCCUAAAGCCGACCGUAUUCCGGAUUGGAGUCUGCAACUCCACUCCUGGAAGAUGGAAUAGUUAGUAAUCAUGGAACAAAACACCGCGGUGAAUACUUUCCCCGGGCU
RNAcentral lists this ribosomal RNA (333 nucleotides) under Acinetobacter lwoffii. RNAcentral describes it as "partial 16S ribosomal RNA". It matches the Rfam family "Bacterial small subunit ribosomal RNA", at positions 1046 to 1381 of the family's 1533-position model. Lineage: Bacteria; Pseudomonadati; Pseudomonadota; Gammaproteobacteria; Moraxellales; Moraxellaceae. The record is from RNAcentral.